Molecule: ribosomal RNA, 386 nt
Filed under: uncultured bacterium
Lineage: Bacteria
Description: bacterial SSU rRNA
Rfam family: Bacterial small subunit ribosomal RNA
Source: RNAcentral
AUUGAACGCUGGCGGAAUGCUUUACACAUGCAAGUCGAACGGCAGCACGGGGGCAACCCUGGUGGCGAGUGGCGAACGGGUGAGUAAUGCAUCGGAACGUGCCAUUGAGUGGGGGAUAACGUAGCGAAAGUUGCGCUAAUACCGCAUAUUCUGUGAGUAGGAAAGCAGGGGACCGCAAGGCCUUGCGCUCUUUGAGCGGCCGAUGUCAGAUUAGCUAGUUGGUGAGGUAAAGGCUUACCAAGGCGACGAUCUGUAGCGGGUCUGAGAGGAUGAUCCGCCACACUGGAACUGAGACACGGUCCAGACUCCUACGGGAGGCAGCAGUGGGGAAUUUUGGACAAUGGGCGCAAGCCUGAUCCAGCCAUGCCGCGUGAGUGAAGAAGGCC